Molecule: transfer RNA, 69 nt
Filed under: Ovis aries (sheep)
Lineage: Eukaryota; Metazoa; Chordata; Mammalia; Artiodactyla; Bovidae
Rfam family: tRNA
About the family: Transfer RNA (tRNA) molecules are approximately 80 nucleotides in length.
Source: Rfam by way of RNAcentral
CCUGACAGCUCAGCUGGUAAAGAAUCUGCCUGCAAUGCAGGAGGCCCCGGUUCGAUUCCGGGGUCAGGA